Molecule: ribosomal RNA, 468 nt
Filed under: Colletotrichum gloeosporioides
Lineage: Eukaryota; Fungi; Ascomycota; Sordariomycetes; Glomerellales; Glomerellaceae
Description: eukaryotic LSU rRNA
Rfam family: 5.8S ribosomal RNA (bases 96-249)
Source: RNAcentral
UGGCCUCCCGCCUCCGGGCGGGUCGGCGCCCGCCGGAGGAUAACCAAACUCUGAUUUAACGACGUUUCUUCUGAGUGGUACAAGCAAAUAAUCAAAACUUUUAACAACGGAUCUCUUGGUUCUGGCAUCGAUGAAGAACGCAGCGAAAUGCGAUAAGUAAUGUGAAUUGCAGAAUUCAGUGAAUCAUCGAAUCUUUGAACGCACAUUGCGCCCGCCAGCAUUCUGGCGGGCAUGCCUGUUCGAGCGUCAUUUCAACCCUCAAGCUCUGCUUGGUGUUGGGGCCCUACAGCUGAUGUAGGCCCUCAAAGGUAGUGGCGGACCCUCCCGGAGCCUCCUUUGCGUAGUAACUUUACGUCUCGCACUGGGAUCCGGAGGGACUCUUGCCGUAAAACCCCCAAUUUUCCAAAGGUUGACCUCGGAUCAGGUAGGAAUACCCGCUGAACUUAAGCAUAUCAAUAAGCGGAGGAA